AGGGUCUCUGGAGGCAGAUAGGGCUCUGCGGGCUCGUCACAGGGAGCCAGGACACGCUCGCUCACACCCGGGGCUGCCGAGGCCAGGGCAGGCCGGCUACGCAGAGCUGUUCCUUCCCCGGAAGCAGGUCUAGGACCAGAAGCGCUUCCCCCUGCAUCCCCCGCCCUGCGGAGGGAGGGCGCAGAGGAAAGGCUCCGACAGAGAGAGCGGCGGGCUUUCCGGGGUUAAGGAAGGCCCACGAGGACAAGCAAGUGGGGUCACCAGCCAGCAGGAGAGAAGCAACGAGCGGCGAGCGUCAGGGACAAGUGGGAGAUGGCCUAGCAAACAUUUGUUUACCAGACAUUUGCUUUUCCAUCUCGAUGUGAAUUGCUUUCCUCCCCUUUGAAGUCCCAAACCACUACCCACAACAUCUUCCUUUGUCUUUAGCUGAAGACGAUAUGUAAGGUGGUGGCUUCAGCCAUUUUGGUGAGUUACUCAGUUUUCCUGGGUUACUCCCAUGUAUACCUGUUAUUAAAUGUGUUUGAUUUUCU
RNAcentral lists this long non-coding RNA (530 nucleotides) under Equus caballus (horse). RNAcentral describes it as "lncRNA (ENSECAG00000030025.3)". The record is from RNAcentral. Lineage: Eukaryota; Metazoa; Chordata; Mammalia; Perissodactyla; Equidae.